Molecule: long non-coding RNA, 1450 nt
Organism: Vespa crabro (European hornet)
Lineage: Eukaryota; Metazoa; Arthropoda; Insecta; Hymenoptera; Vespidae
Exons: 2
Source: RefSeq, a predicted model, not a curated record
GUGGGGAGAGCUAUCUGGCAAGGACGCGUCGCUUCAGCCGACCGACCGACAUAUACUAUUAUACUACUCGUCGCAUCGACUUUCCACAAGAAAUUACUUGAAAUUUCAAAAUAAAAAAGAAAAGAAAAAUUCGAUCAAAGGAAAAAUGAGAUAUAACAUUGAUCUCAAAGAUCUGGCCAGUACUUUGAAGCGAUAAUGUCAGGGAUUUCAGAAGCACCGAGUAAUUAACAAGUUGGCUGUUUUUGAGAAGUCUACGAGAAUUCUACGGAAAUAAUUUUGUGAACGAGAGAAGAUAUUCGUUGGUAAAGUAACGCUCAACUAGUAAGAAAAUCUCUUUCGAAAUUAGAAAUGGAAGAUCCAUAGGUCUUUUGAAAGCUUCGAGAGUAUAUUGAUAUCGACGAAACUUGAAAUGAAAUAAGACAACAUAAAUCAGAAAAGAGAUAGAUAGAUAAAUAGAUAGAUAGAUAGAUAGAUAGAUAGAUAGAUAGAUAGAUAGAUAGAUAGAUAGAUAGAUAAAUAGAUAAAUAGAUAAAUAGAUAUAGAUAGAGAAAGAGAGGGAGAGAGAAACAAAGAGAGGAGGGAGAGAAGAACCGACAAGAGGAAAUUGCAAUAUAAAAUAGGAAAUUGCUUGUCCACGAAACGUUUCUGAUAUCCUCACUAUUUUUUUUUUGUUCUUUCGAAAAUAUAAUUCAUAAUUCAUAUAACAGAGCUAUUUCUAAUCACCAAUACACACAUAUGUUACGACAAAAAAACAUUCUUAAUGAAUUUCAAAAGAAAAUUUGAGGUAUGCGAGAUCGUAAUCUUAAUUGGAGCACCAAUGAGAUAACUGAAAAUGUAUGAAAGAAUAAAAUUAUCUUUCAAUCUGUCGCUCUCGUAAAACAGAUAUAUUCACACAUACGUAACAUAGAUAUGACGCGAUGUGUUACUGCGUAAUGUAGUUUUCUUGAUAGAAAUACUCGCGUUACGUUUCCUCGAUGUUUUUGCUUAUUUCGCGUGUAACAUGCGUGUGUACGCGUGUAACAUGCGUGUGUACGCGUGUACUCUGAUGUAUAAGAUUUCCAUUCGCAAAAGAAAUGACUCUCCCUUUCUAUAUCUCUAUUUGUCAUUUUCUUUCUUUCUCUCUCUCUCUUUCUUUCUCUUUCUUUCUUACUUAUCUGCUAUUACGUAAGGAGCAAUAUGACUAAUUGUAAAAUCAAAUUUACAUCGCCAGGAGAUGCUGCCACUGUUGUGUACGCUUUGACAACUUGCAGAAACCGAAGAAAUAUCGAUAAAUGCUAUAUUCAAAAGUAAAAAGUGUAUGUGUAGGUAUGCGUGUGUCCGUGUAAGUGAACAUGCGUGCGAAACUUCAUGCGUCAUUAUGCUAUUGUAAUUUCAAAGAAAUGACAAUGCAUGUAUGCAUACGAUGCAAUUAUUAUACAAAACGAAUGGUAUUAAACGUAAUCGAUCGAAA